Long non-coding RNA from Rhipicephalus microplus (southern cattle tick), 1173 nucleotides. RefSeq lists it as uncharacterized. NCBI's taxonomy places the organism in Eukaryota, Metazoa, Arthropoda, Arachnida, Ixodida, Ixodidae. The record is from RefSeq and is a predicted model, not a curated record.
UUCAUUGCUACCCCUGACAAGCACACAGAGAUGCCUCCUGCAGACUGCUUCCAAAGCUAUCCGUUCCUAAUACUACUUGCAACAGCACUUGACGUAUGGGUGGACCUUUUGGCACCUUCCCACUGCUUCGAUGAUGGCGUCACCCUGGCAACCGACACAUCGCAGCUACCCUUGAAAUUGUGUUGCUUCCUCGUGGUGGUAUUUCAUUGCAACACCUGACAAGUACAUGGAGACGACUCCUGCAGACUGCUUCCAAGGCUCUCCGUUCCUGAGAUUACCUGGCGCAUCAGUCGUCGUAUGGCCGAACCUUUUGGCAUCUUCGCCCUCCUUCGCUGAUGAUGUCAUCCACACUUCAGCUACCUUUGCGAAAGGAUCUCCACCUGUGUUCUCGCUUGUGAGGCGCCGCAGAAGAUUGGUCCAGCCCACUCUUGACAUCGGUAACGUCCAUGACAUUGCCCCAAAAGCGACGACUGCUCGUUCUACCGUACACUCCCGGCCGGUCAAUUCUUCGUACGCUUCCAAGCCUUUGUUGGAGGUUCCUGCACUGUCUUCGCAGCGUGUGGGUGUUCUCCGGAAAGACUGCAGUCGCGUUCGCUAAAGGCUUUACCGAAUCUUGUGUGGUAUUUUUUGUAGCAUGAGUAGGAAAUGAUGUAGAUAAUCUAGAGGAGCAAGUCGCCCUAUAUUCUCCCAGCCAAAGUAUGGUACAUCUAGCCGUUGCAAGGGAGCCCAAGAGUAAACAUUAAAAAACUGUCACGUCAUUUGUAAAUGUUUGGUGGGUAGGAUAAGCAUAUUUAUUUACAUUUUGUGCUUUCGUAGAGUUAGGAGGUGGGACUACGUGCACGCAUGUUCGCGCAAGCUUUCGUUUGCUCACAAUUAACAUUCCAUUUGGAAGGUUAACUUUAUUUCUGGUCUUGUUGCGUUCUGAAUGGAUUGGACUCGCUCUUUACUACAGUUUGUUCCACGAUGUUGUUUUCUUACGUGUGGUGUACCUGAUGACGGCCACAACCCAUUGUCGACUCAGUGGUAAAUCGAAAAAUUGUUUUGAAAAAUUAGUUUUUUAGGUCUUGUUCGGCGUUUACGCUGACCAGCCAAACACUUUGGUCUUGGCAAAGGCAUCUUUUGAUGACAUUCACAAUAAAGCUGCUUUGUGAUGCAAGACACCACGCUAGUGAA